AUGGACCAGCAAGUGUUCCUCGGCGUCUCCUGGGGCGAUUUGCUCACCUACCUGAAGCGCAACAGCGGCAUGGAUCCCGAGCUGGUGGUCUACGGCCAUAACCUGGUGCUCUCCUACGUCUACGACUACAUCCCGGACCCUCCCGUCUCCCCCAUCGCCACACUCUCGCUUUCCGGCUUGCCGUGGGUCCCCGACGGCGUCGACCGCAUCAGCUGCCUCCCGGACAAGGUCCUCCGUAACAUCGUCUCCCGGCUCCCCGCCAAGGAAGCCGCGCGCACGGCCUCCCUCGCCUCGCGCUGGCGCCCCAUCUGGCGCUCGGCACCCCUCGUUCUUGUCGACAGCCACCUGCUCCCGGACGGCGCCGUGCGCGGGCAGCUCGUCAUCGGCUCUCCCUCUCCCCGCGCCGUCACCGCCGCGGCGCACCCGGGUCCCUUCCGCUGCGUCCACCUCACCCGCACCACCAUGGAUGAGCACCGGGGCGAGAUGGCGCGCUGGCUCGACAUCCUCGUCGCCAAGGGAGUCCAAGAACUCUUCUUCGUCAACCGGCCUUGGCCGCUAGAUCUGCGCCUCCCCGCGACGCUCUUCAGCUGCGCCUCCCUCACCCGCCUCUAUCUCGGCGUCUGGAGGCUCCCGGACACCACCGCCGUACCGCGUGGCGCCAGAUUCCCCAACCUCCUGGAGCUCGGCCUCUGCUUCAAUGCCAUGGAGGACCGCGAUCUGGCAUUCAUGCUUGAAAGAAGCCCCGUCUUGGAGUUCCUCCUCAUCAUGGGAAGUCAGAGCGGAGUGCGCCUCCGCCUCGUCAGCCAAAGCCUGCGGUGUGUUCAGCUGGGCCUCUUCUCCUUUGACGACCUGGACGUGGUGGAUGCCCCUAGUCUGGAGAGACUUUUUCAGUAUAACACCAACAAUAACAGCCCCACCAAGAACCGCUCUUCCAGGAUCAAGAUUGGCCAAGCACCUAAACUUCGAGUGCUGGGAUACCUUGAGCCAGGAGGGCAGGAAUUGGGGAUUAGCAACACCGUCAUCGUGGCUGGGAUCAAGGAGAGCAUUGUCCCUAGUGUCCAGAUUUUGGCCAUAGAGGUGCAGUUCGGUGUCCGCAAUUCUGUCAAGAAAGUGCCUGGCUUUCUCAGAUGCUUCCCCAACCUGGAGACGCUCCAUGUCCAGUCUCACCGCAUAUCUGAAGAGCCCACCGGAAAGGUCAAUGUCAAGUUCUGGCAGGAGGGCGGUUCCAUCAAAUGCGUCGUGGAGAGCAUGAAGAAGGUGUUCUUGUACGAGUUCCGAGGGUCGAGAAGCGAGGUUACUUUCCUCAAGCUCGUCGCGGAGAGGGCUCGGGUGCUGGAGCAGAUGGUGGUCGUGGUGUCUAGUGGAUCUUUCUCUCCAGUGGAUGAUGUGAGUGCCAAGCUGAAGCCUCUCACCAAUGCAAAAUGGGCCAGUAAAGCUUGCAAACUUGAGCUCUUCAACAGCCCACCUGCUGAAGACGGAAUGGCACCCUUCUGCCGCCGGCUAGCAAAUGAUUUCUCGUUCCCGGACCCUUUUAACGUCAAAGAGUACCAUGAAGAAAGAAUCUCUCUAAGUUAA
Molecule: ribosomal RNA, 1575 nt
Filed under: Triticum aestivum (bread wheat)
Lineage: Eukaryota; Viridiplantae; Streptophyta; Magnoliopsida; Poales; Poaceae
Description: partial small subunit ribosomal RNA
Source: RNAcentral